GUUUUAUUUUAGCUUAAUAAAUUUGUUAUUAAUUUAAUUUAUAUGUAAAUUUUUGUGUGUAUUUUUAUUUAUUUAAAUAAUAAUUAUUUUAUUUAAUUCGCAGUAAUUAAUAUUAUUAAUUAAAGAAAUUUAGAGAUAGAUAUAGUAAAAAGUAUUGGCUAAAUUUGUGCCAGCAGCCGUGGUUAUACAAAUAAUGCAAAAGAAUUUUUUCAGAAAAAGUUAAAUUAAAUUUAAAUAAAUUAAAUAAAUUUUUAUUAGGUGAAAUUUUAAAAAUUUAAUAUUUUAAUUAAUAAAUAAUUGAAGCUUAAAAAUUUUAUUGAUAAACUAGGAUUAGAUACCCUAUUAUUUAAAAUGUAAUUAAAAAAUUUUGAGUAGUAUUAGAUAUGAUCUUGAAACUUAAAAAAUUUGGCGGUAUUUUAGUCUAUUCAGAGGAACCUGUUCUGUAAUCGAUAAUCCACGAUGGAUCUAACUUAAAUUUGUUUAUCAGUUUAUAUACCGUCGUUAUCAGAAUAUUUUGUAAAAAUAAUAAUUUUCAAUAAUUUUAAUAAAAAUGUAUAUCAGAUCAAGGUGUAGCUUAUAUUUAAGUAGAAAUGGGUUACAAUAAAUUUAUUUAAAUGAAUAUAAAAAUGAAAAAUUUUAUUGAAAGUGGAUUUGAUAGUAAAAUUAUAAAGAUUGAUAAUUUGAUUUUAGCUCUAAAAUAUGCACACAUCGCCCGUCGCUCUUAUUAUUAAGAUAAGAUAAGUCGUAACAUAGUAGAGGUACCGGAAGGUGCCUCUAGAAU
This 781-nucleotide non-coding RNA is filed under the name Marmarodeceia marmorata. The record is from RNAcentral. Lineage: Eukaryota; Metazoa; Arthropoda; Insecta; Diptera; Lauxaniidae.